RNAcentral lists this ribosomal RNA (328 nucleotides) under Themara maculipennis. RNAcentral describes it as "partial 16S ribosomal RNA". The record is from RNAcentral. Lineage: Eukaryota; Metazoa; Arthropoda; Insecta; Diptera; Tephritidae.
GUGCAAAGGUAGCAUAAUCAUUAGUCUUUUAAUUGAAGGCUGGAAUGAACGGUUGGACGAGGUAUAAGCUGUUUCAUAUAAAUUUAUAAUAGAAUUUUAUUUUUUAGUCAAAAAGCUAAAAUUUAAUUAAAAGACGAGAAGACCCUAUAAAUCUUUAUAAUUUUUGUUACUUAAAUUUUUUAGAUUAAUUUUGUUUUUGUAGUAAAAAUUAUUUUGUUGGGGUGAUAUUAAAAUUUAAUAAACUUUUAAUUUAUAUUAAUCAUUAAUUUAUGAUUUGUUGAUCCGUUAAUAACGAUUAUAAGAUUAAGUUACUUUAGGGAUAACAGCG